RNAcentral lists this long non-coding RNA (1123 nucleotides) under Marmota monax (woodchuck). The record is from RNAcentral. Lineage: Eukaryota; Metazoa; Chordata; Mammalia; Rodentia; Sciuridae.
AUAAAAUCCACUUACAACAGCAUUGAAGAGUGAGGACAGAGACACAGAGACAGGCUGCAGAAAGCUGUGCAAGAUAAAUUUUGCUGAGAGAAAUGAAAGAACUAAAUCAACGGAGAGACGGGGGCACACGUGGAAAGACGCCAACGCCUUCCAGACAACGCACAGGCUGAAAACCACCCCCAGCAGAACCCCUGCCGCACACCCAGGAGGAGGGAAGGCUGCGCCCGUGCAGGCCCCGCCCACGAGGAGCAGGCCCUGCCCACGAGGAGCAGGCCCUGCCCAUGAGGGAAGGCCCCGCCCGCCAGGGGCCCAGUGCCCACCAGCAGCCAGCCCUGCUGCUUCCCUGCCCGUCGGAAACCAGAUCAGCCCCUGCCUGGGGAGGAGACAGGGCACGGGAAGCUCCUGGGCCACCUGCACCUUUGCCGUCUGGAUGGUGGUGGUGUCCUCGCGGAUGUGUGGACCGUCAAGGUGCAUCAGCUGGAUGGGGACGGGGAAGGCAGGCCGCGGAGGUCUCCAUGAAGCCCAGGCCCACGCUGGACGUGCCCAGCAGGUGCCCACUGGGACUCGAGCACAGGCCCCGACACUCAGCCCCCAGCAGCUGGGUCUGGUGCUUCUGGCCCCGUUCUGCAUCUUCAAGCCGCGGGACGAGCGGAGCCUGAGGGCAGACAGAGACCCCCGAGAAGUUGUGGCCAGGAGCCUGCGGACCCCUGGUGCAGUCGGGCUUUGGCGGGGCAAGACCUCAAGACACCCUGCUCCCCGAGGAGCCGCCGGACCCGUGGCCAUGGGAUAGGGCAGGGCAAACCCCGAAGAGCCAUUUCCCACAGAGGAACACCUGGUCCCCAGCUGCACAGAGGGAGUGACCCAGCCGGAGCAGGGCAGCCUGGAUUCCUGUCCCAGCUCUGCCCCUCAGGACGUGACUCAGGGCAGUGCCCUCUCUGGCCUCAGUGUCCCCUACAGCAUGGGGUGGGAGAGAUGGGACACGCGGGCCCCAGCACGGCAGCCCUUUCUCAGUCUUGCCAGGGCCUGCAGCUGCCCCAUGGGAAUGGGCACGGCCUCCCUGGCUCCCUGGACUCCGCAGACCCGGGCCAGCGUGUGCUGCCAGCCCGUGGUCGCCAGAGCCAAG